GUUCACCCUCUUGCCAGUCUCCCUUCUCCUAGCUGGGGAGGUGGGGUGCGGUGGGGGGCGGGGCUGGGGGAG
Molecule: microRNA precursor, 72 nt
Filed under: Echinops telfairi (small Madagascar hedgehog)
Lineage: Eukaryota; Metazoa; Chordata; Mammalia; Afrosoricida; Tenrecidae
Description: miRNA (ENSETEG00000026775.1)
Source: RNAcentral